Long non-coding RNA from Lutra lutra (Eurasian river otter), 1185 nucleotides. RefSeq lists it as uncharacterized. The transcript has 3 exons. NCBI's taxonomy places the organism in Eukaryota, Metazoa, Chordata, Mammalia, Carnivora, Mustelidae. The record is from RefSeq and is a predicted model, not a curated record.
AGACUUACUUCUUACCAUCUUUCUUAAGGAUCUACUGACAUCACACUUAAGAUUAGUUCUGGAAGUGAAAGGUCUGAAGUCAGUUCCCCUGAGCCCAAGUCAAGGUGUCCACAAGCUUGGAUCCUUCUGGAGGAAGGAGGCUCCCAGGGGAAAAAUCUGUUGCAUUGCCUUUUUCAAUAUUCUCAUUGCUGCCUCUGUUCCUUGGCCUGUGACCUCUUCCUCCAUAGUCAAAGGACAUCACUCGAGUUUCUGCUUCCAACACCCUGUCUCCAUCUCCUCCGGUUCUGACUCCUCCUGUCUGCUUCACAAGGACUGCCAUGAUCACACUGCCACGGUGUGAGCAGCCCCAUGGAGGGACCCCCAGGGCAAGGAACAGAAGCUUCCAACCGACAAACCAAGGCUGGUGAGGAGCCAAGGCCUGCAACAGCCCUGCGGGACUGCAAUCGCGUCACCAGCCCUGGCCGGACCCCGAGAUGAACCUAGCCCUGGCUGGCGGCCCAGCUGCAAGCUUGCUAGCGGCCCUGACCCAGAAACCACCCUCCCAGCUAGGCUGUGCCUGGACCCCUGACCCUCCAGAACGUGAGCUAAGAGAUGCUCAGUGUUGUUCGAAGCUGCUGAGUCUUGAGGCAAUCUGUCAUCCAGCAACAGAAACCUAUCACAUAUGUGCAUGGUGGAACGACCAGGAGGAUGUAAUGCAAAAUUCGAUGAGUGGUUUUCCUCUAGGCAGGGGAAUUAUGGCUCAUUUUAGUUUCUCUUUUGGGACAUUGUUGGCAAUGUUUUUCCUUUUUCAUUAACUUAAAAACCACAUGACCGAGAGAGAUGAUAGAACUUUCACAGGAUAAAAGGUUAAAGAUUAACGGAGCUGAUUUUAGCUCUAAUAACCUUUAAAGACUCAAGUAAGUUAGCUUACAUGUAGCACAAAAACAAAAGCAAGAGAACCCUCCAGAGAGUGCACCUGAAUGGCCCAGUGGCAUGAGUUUCACCAGCCAGAAACCGCACAGUGCAUUCAGUACCUGCAAGGAAAGGAGACUUGGACAGGCUUCUGAAAAGAAAAAUCCAUCAGUCAUGAAGUCACCUGCUAGCCAAUCACGGAGUCUCGCUUACCCAGCUUCUGGUCAAACCGCCACGCCGCCACGUAGGCAUUGUGCCUCAGACUGCUAUGCGUGGCCAGGGGCACGGUGACAU